GAUGAACGCUGGCGGCGUGCCUAAUACAUGCAAGUCGAGCGAACAGACGAGAGUGCUUGCACUCUCUGACGUUAGCGGCGGACGGGUGAGUAACACGUGGGUAACCUACCUAUAAGACUGGGAUAACUUCGGGAAACCGGAGCUAAUACCGGAUAAUAUUUAGCUUCGCAUGAAGCAAUAGUGAAAGACGGUUCUGCUGUCACUUAUAGAUGGACCCGCGGUGUAUUAGCUAGUUGGUGAGGUAACGGCUCACCAAGGCAACGAUACAUAGCCGACCUGAGAGGGUGAUCGGCCACACUGGGACUGAGACACGGCCCAGACUCCUACGGGAGGCAGCAGUAGGGAAUCUUCCGCAAUGGACGAAAGUCUGACAGAGCAAUGCCGCGUGAGUGAAGAAGGUUUUCGGAUCGUAAAACUCUGUUGUAAGGGAAGAACAAGUACGUUAGUAACUGAACGUACCUUGACGGUACCUUACCAGAAAGCCACGGCUAACUACG
RNAcentral lists this ribosomal RNA (497 nucleotides) under uncultured bacterium. RNAcentral's name for it is "partial 16S ribosomal RNA". It matches the Rfam family "Bacterial small subunit ribosomal RNA", at positions 28 to 505 of the family's 1533-position model. The record is from RNAcentral.